AAUUAAAUUUAUAUUUAUAAAAUUAAUAUAUUUAAUUUAAAAUUAUUAGGUGAAAUUUUAAUUUUAAUGGUUUUAUAUAAUUUAUUAAUUGAUUUUUAUGAAAUUUUUAUUUUAAACUAGGAUUAGAUACCCUAUUAUUAAAAAUGUAAAAUAUAAAAUCUAGAAUAGUAUUAGUUAUGAUCUUGAAAUUUAAAAAAUUUGGCGGUAUUUUAGUCUAUUCAGAGGAACUUGUUCUAUAAUUGAUAAUCCCCGAUGGACCUCACUUAAUUUUAUUAAAUUUGUAUAUCGCCGUCAUCAGAAUAUCUUAAAAAAGUAAAAAUUUUCUAAAAUUAAAAUUUUAAAUUAUGUCAGGUCAAGGUGCAGUUUAUAAUUAAGUAGAAAUGAGUUACAAUAAAUUUAUUUCUUGGAUAAAAAAUUGAAAUAUUUUUUUGAAAUUGGAUUUGAUAGUAAAAUAAUAAAGAUAAAUUAUUUGAUUUUAGCUCUAAAAUAUGUACAUAUCGCCCGUCGCUCUCGUUAUUAAAAUGAGAUAAGUCGUAACAUAGUAGACGUAUCGGAAGAUGUGUCUAGAAUGAC
Molecule: ribosomal RNA, 573 nt
Filed under: Rhipidia chenwenyoungi
Lineage: Eukaryota; Metazoa; Arthropoda; Insecta; Diptera; Limoniidae
Description: 12S ribosomal RNA
Source: RNAcentral